GCUACCGUAGCUCAGCUGGUAGAGCAACUGAUUCGUAAUCAGUAGGUCGCAGGUUCGAAUCCCGUCGGUAGCUCCA
This 76-nucleotide transfer RNA is filed under the name gut metagenome. RNAcentral describes it as "tRNA-Thr". It matches the Rfam family "tRNA". Rfam says of the family: Transfer RNA (tRNA) molecules are approximately 80 nucleotides in length. The record is from RNAcentral.